CCCUUAGAUGUCCUGGGCCGCACGCGCGUUACACUGAUGCAUUCAACGAGCUUAUAACCUUGGCCGAGAGGCCUGGGCAAUCUUGUUAACGUGCAUCGUGAUAGGGAUAGAUUAUUGAAAUUACUAAUCUUGAACGAGGAAUUCCUAGUAAACGCAGAUCAUCAAUCUGCAUUGAUUACGUCCCUGCCCUUUGUACACACCGCCCGUCGCACCUACCGAUUGGAUGGUCCGGUGAAGCCUCGGGAUUGUGGUUCUUGCCGCUUUAUUGUGGCGUGACCGCGAGAACUUGUCUAAACCUUAUCAUCUAGAGGAAGGUGAAGUCGUAACA
RNAcentral lists this ribosomal RNA (328 nucleotides) under uncultured eukaryote. Its description in RNAcentral is "partial 18S ribosomal RNA". It matches the Rfam family "Eukaryotic small subunit ribosomal RNA", at positions 1470 to 1796 of the family's 1831-position model. The record is from RNAcentral.